RNAcentral lists this ribosomal RNA (1008 nucleotides) under Nocardia sp. RNAcentral describes it as "bacterial SSU rRNA". It matches the Rfam family "Bacterial small subunit ribosomal RNA", at positions 246 to 1266 of the family's 1533-position model. Lineage: Bacteria; Bacillati; Actinomycetota; Actinomycetes; Mycobacteriales; Nocardiaceae. The record is from RNAcentral.
UUGUUGGUGAGGUAACGGCUCACCAAGGCGACGACGGGUAGCCGGCCUGAGAGGGCGACCGGCCACACUGGGACUGAGACACGGCCCAGACUCCUACGGGAGGCAGCAGUGGGGAAUAUUGCACAAUGGGCGCAAGCCUGAUGCAGCGACGCCGCGUGAGGGAUGACGGCCUUCGGGUUGUAAACCUCUUUUGACAGGGACGAAGCGCAAGUGACGGUACCUGUAGAAGAAGCACCGGCCAACUACGUGCCAGCAGCCGCGGUAAUACGUAGGGUGCGAGCGUUGUCCGGAAUUACUGGGCGUAAAGAGCUUGUAGGCGGUCUGUCGCGUCGAUUGUGAAAACUUGCAGCUCAACUGCAAGCUUGCAGUCGAUACGGGCAGACUAGAGUACUGCAGGGGAGACUGGAAUUCCUGGUGUAGCGGUGAAAUGCGCAGAUAUCAGGAGGAACACCGGUGGCGAAGGCGGGUCUCUGGGCAGUAACUGACGCUGAGAAGCGAAAGAGUGGGUAGCGAACAGGAUUAGAUACCCUGGUAGUCCACGCCGUAAACGGUGGGCACUAGGUGUGGGUUUCCUUCCACGGGAUCCGUGCCGUAGCUAACGCAUUAAGUGCCCCGCCUGGGGAGUACGGCCGCAAGGCUAAAACUCAAAGGAAUUGACGGGGGCCCGCACAAGCGGCGGAGCAUGUGGAUUAAUUCGAUGCAACGCGAAGAACCUUACCUGGGUUUGACAUACACCGGAAAGCCAUAGAGAUAUGGCCCCCCUUGUGGUCGGUGUACAGGUGGUGCAUGGCGGUCGUCAGCUCGUGUCGUGAGAUGUUGGGUUAAGUCCCGCAACGAGCGCAACCCUUAUCUUAUGUUGCCAGCGCGUAAUGGCGGGGACUCGUGAGAGACUGCCGGGGUCAACUCGGAGGAAGGUGGGGACGACGUCAAGUCAUCAUGCCCCUUAUGUCCAGGGCUUCACACAUGGUACAAUGGCCGGUACAGAGGGGUGCGAUACCGUGAGGUGGA